RNAcentral lists this ribosomal RNA (553 nucleotides) under uncultured bacterium. RNAcentral describes it as "partial 16S ribosomal RNA". The record is from RNAcentral.
CCCGAGAGGUAUACCGCUGGACGUCGCCGGCGCUUAAGGAUCACUACCCAUAGAUUAGGACAAACGAUGGGUGCGAAAGCUCGGAGUCGCAGUCAAGUGUCGGGUCAUCCGGCGGAAGCGGUGACCACAAGGAGGAUUAUAGAUGCGUAAAGUGGCGAUGUGAUCCUUAAGGCGGAUGGAGAUGACGUGAGUUCUCACUAUCAAAACUUGCGCUGAUAGUCAAUUCGGCUAUCAAAUCUGUAAGUUGAACAGAGGGGCGGAUGCGAGGGAAAUGUGGGUCAUUAAGGCCUGUUGCGAACGGUGGAUGCAUAAUGGCGCCGACGACCGUGCAUCAAUCGGCACCGAAGGAGGAAUCCAUGGCAGUAAAAAAGCAGGGAUUUCUGUCUCCAAAUGCUUAGGCUUCUUGGCAGAAGGGAGUGCGCCGCAGCGACGUAGUCCCAAAGGGGGUAACACGUUAUAGGGGGUGACGACGGAGGGCAUCUCAGACCCGGCACAGAGUCAGGGUUACACCGGCUAGUUGGAGAGUCGGCCGCUGGCUAGCAGCCCAACCCCC